RNAcentral lists this long non-coding RNA (1247 nucleotides) under Cricetulus griseus (Chinese hamster). RNAcentral's name for it is "lncRNA (ENSCGRG00015037056.1)". Lineage: Eukaryota; Metazoa; Chordata; Mammalia; Rodentia; Cricetidae. The record is from RNAcentral.
UCAUUGCCCCACAUCUAGUGUUUCUGAUCCCAUUAGACUUGCAGUAGUGAGAGAGAGAUUUGAUGUCAGGUAAAGGUUCAGAGUCCUGAUCUGUGUUAAGUAUGAGCAACCUGUAUGUCACUUUUCCUCAUCCACAAAAGCCUACUUUCAGGGGGUUGGAGAGAUGACUCAGUGGCUGGAAGCACUUGGACUUGUACCUCAUGCAGAAGACACAGUUCUGUUCCCAGCACUUACCCUGAUUGCUACACAACUGCCUACUACUCCAGUUCUAGGGCAUCUGGUGCCCUCUUCUGGCCUCCACGGAUACACAUACACAAAUAGAAGGAAUUGUUUAAAAAAAAACCUACCUACUUUCAGGGUCCUUGUUAUCAUUACACACUGGGGACUAAUAGCCAUCUCUUCAAACAACUCUACCAGUUGAGGACAAUCUUCAUUUAAUAGAUAAGGAAACUACAGUAUGGAAACUGAGAUAAUUUCACAGUGAGUGGCGGAGCCAGGAAAGAGGCUACAUUACAAUCUCCAAAUAAUUUCUUACAAAGGAAGCAGCCAUGGCUAUUUCAGUUUAUGCUGUUUCCUCUUGAAAUUGUCCCCAUCAUCACAGCCCACCCACCUCCUGUAGCAGGCCACAGUCAUCUGUGCAGUUGUACUGCAGCCUUCAUUACGUUCCAUUUCCAUUAUCUGGGCCAUGUCUGUUCCUGAGGAAGCUCUUUGGUCACCUUGGAAUUUUUGUUGUCUCUACAAUGCCAGCGCAUUGUAGGUAUACUCAGUUAUACUUAAAUGAAUAAUCAGGACACCACAGUACUCUUGUCUUCACAUGCUCAUGCUGUUUGCAAGGUUCUGCACACUCCUGGCGACUGUUGCAGGGUGACGUUUUAGUGACUCUCCUAACCUGUGAUCUCUUCUGUUUCCUCCAUAGCACGAGUUUCUGCAGAGAUGAGUUUAGUCUUCUUUCAGGAGGAGAGGUCAUUGUCCCAACCAGGAAGUGGUCUUGUGGUCCCACUGACCCCAGUCUUUUCCAGACAGAGCUGGGGCUCAUACUAGCUCAACUGGCGAUUUCCCAGAGACUCACAAUUCUAUUUCUCAAGAGUGCUAUAGAUCCCUCCCCCAAGAAGGCUCCUGCUCCAAACUCCACAAUCUUAGUAUUGUGUGUGGAGAGAACUAAAAGAUUUAUUGGAAUGCUGAUGGUGACCAAGUAAGUACAGCUUUUCACCAUUCACCCUGAAGAGGGUGCUCCCAAAAGUCCUGUC